CCCUAUUCUCUGGAUGUACUCUACUCAUAUCUUCAGACAUUACAGGCUUUUCUUAAAUUAAUGCCUUGUAAUGAAGUUUCUUCAGAUUUUUUCCUUGUAAACACUCAUUUAGCUUAUAUGUAGGUUUAAGCAACUUGUGUAACAGCAAGAUUUCAUAUAAAGCACAUUUGUCCUCAAAAAUCUCUUGACUAAAGAUUCUAGAAUGGGAACCUGAAAUUUAACUAUGAGAUGACCAGCAUAUGUGAUACCUGCUCAGAAAAGGGUGACAUUAGCAUUCUGCCAUCUAUCUUAAGCAUGACACUGUUCAAGUGUUCAGUCUUAUAUUCCUAACAUUAUUCUUACAUGGCACAGAGAGAGAGCUGUUUACAGAUCUAAAGAUUGCAAACCAGUAGCUCAGGAUACUUUAUUUAAUUAGUUUGCUCCUGAACACAGCUUUUGCAUGCAUCAUUCUCUGUUAUAUCACAGAUCUAUGAACAAUAAUUGACACAGAAACCCUCAACACUUACACUGAGCAUGACCUACCAGGAAAUUAUGUAUUCACAUGGUAGUAAUUUAAUGUACACUGUCUUGUACUCAUUUGCUUAAAAGAAUAUCAUCUGAGUCAGUGUUAAAAGCGUUAAGGUGUGUGUGUGUGUGUGUGUGUGUGUGUCAUUUACUGCUUCUAAUCUACCCACUGAAUCCCACUAGAGAGAAAAUCAGGUUGCACUAGCAUGCUUAAAAUAAUGUAUUUGUUCUUUCAAGUCCCACAAAUGCAAACUUCAAAAGAAAACAUCAAUUCACAUGUGUGGGCUAUAGCUGCAUGCUGGGUUUGGGCACAGAGAUUUCUGUGCCACUUCACCAACCCAAGCCUCCUUACCCACACAGAACAUUUGUUACAGCAAGGGCUAGCACCAGACAGCCUCCUCUUAUUCUACAUCUUUUUGUACUUUUCACUAGAGAAGCAAGGCUUAAAAGUUUUUUUUUUUCCUCCUAUCCCUUGGCUGGUAGAUAGAACACUGAAAUUGCAGUACUUUUAAUUUCAAUUAAACAAACAAUAGUAACAGCUGUGAUUGCCAUUAUUCCAUAACAUUAUC
Molecule: long non-coding RNA, 1073 nt
Filed under: Gallus gallus (chicken)
Lineage: Eukaryota; Metazoa; Chordata; Aves; Galliformes; Phasianidae
Description: lncRNA (ENSGALG00010005584.1)
Source: RNAcentral